GACGAACGCUGGCGGCGUGCUUAACACAUGCAAGUCGAACGGAAAGGCCCUGCUUUUGUGGGGUGCUCGAGUGGCGAACGGGUGAGUAACACGUGAGUAACCUGCCCUUGACUUUGGGAUAACUUCAGGAAACUGGGGCUAAUACCGGAUAGGAGCUCCUGCUGCAUGGUGGGGGUUGGAAAGUUUCGGCGGUUGGGGAUGGACUCGCGGCUUAUCAGCUUGUUGGUGGGGUAGUGGCUUACCAAGGCUUUGACGGGUAGCCGGCCUGAGAGGGUGACCGGCCACAUUGGGACUGAGAUACGGCCCAGACUCCUACGGGAGGCAGCAGUGGGGAAUAUUGCACAAUGGGCGGAAGCUUGAUGCAGCAACGCCGCGUGCGGGAUGACGGCCUUCGGGUUGUAAACCGCUUUCGCCUGUGACGAAGCGUGAGUGACGGUAAUGGGUAAAGAAGCACCGGCUAACUACGUGCCAGCAGCCGCGGUGAUACGUAGGGUGCGAGCGUUGUCCGGAUUUAUUGGGCGUAAAGGGCUCGUAGGUGGUUGAUCGCGUCGGAAGUGUAAUCUUGGGGCUUAACCCUGAGCGUGCUUUCGAUACGGGUUGACUUGAGGAAGGUAGGGGAGAAUGGAAUUCCUGGUGGAGCGGUGGAAUGCGCAGAUAUCAGGAGGAACACCAGUGGCGAAGGCGGUUCUCUGGGCCUUUCCUGACGCUGAGGAGCGAAAGCGUGGGGAGCGAACAGGCUUAGAUACCCUGGUAGUCCACGCUGUAAACGGUGGGUGCUAGGUGUGGGGUCCAUUCCACGGGUUCCGUGCCGUAGCUAACGCUUUAAGUACCCCGCCUGGGGAGUACGGCCGCAAGGCUAAAACUCAAAGGAAUUGACGGGGCCCCGCACAAGCGGCGGAGCAUGCGGAUUAAUUCGAUGCAACGCGUAGAACCUUACCUGGGUUUGACAUGGAUCGGGAGUGCUCAGAGAUGGGUGUGCCUCUUUUGGGGUCGGUUCACAGGUGGUGCAUGGCUGUCGUCAGCUCGUGUCGUGAGAUGUUGGGUUAAGUCCCGCAACGAGCGCAACCCUUGUUCACUGUUGCCAGCACGUUAUGGUGGGGACUCAGUGGAGACCGCCGGGGUCAACUCGGAGGAAGGUGGGGAUGACGUCAAGUCAUCAUGCCCCUUAUGUCCAGGGCUUCACGCAUGCUACAAUGGCUGGUACAGAGAGUGGCGAGCCUGUGAGGGUGAGCGAAUCUCGGAAAGCCGGUCUCAGUUCGGAUUGGGGUCUGCAACUCGACCUCAUGAAGUCGGAGUCGCUAGUAAUCGCAGAUCAGCAACGCUGCGGUGAAUACGUUCCCGGGGCU
This 1346-nucleotide ribosomal RNA is filed under the name uncultured bacterium. RNAcentral's name for it is "partial 16S ribosomal RNA". It matches the Rfam family "Bacterial small subunit ribosomal RNA", at positions 28 to 1381 of the family's 1533-position model. The record is from RNAcentral.